Molecule: small nucleolar RNA, 134 nt
Organism: Misgurnus anguillicaudatus (oriental weatherfish)
Lineage: Eukaryota; Metazoa; Chordata; Actinopteri; Cypriniformes; Cobitidae
Source: RefSeq, a predicted model, not a curated record
UAGCACUGUAUCUGAACCCAUAAAGUCUCCUCGUGGCUCAAUGGGUCAAGCAACGGUGCAAAAGUAAUUGAUUGUUAUAACUGGGGCUUCAUGGAAUUUACGCCAAGUUGCUCUUUUAAAAGCAAUCUACAUUU